GCUUUGUUCUUAGUGGGCCCUUUUUGGUAAGCAGAACGGGUAAUGAGGGAUGAACCUAACGUUGAGAUAAGGCGCCAAAAUCUCCGCUCAUCAGAUACCACAAAAGGUGUUGAUUCAUACAGACAGCAGGACGGUGGCCAUGUAAGUCGGAAUCCGCUAAGGAGUGUGUAACAACUCACCUGCCGAAUGAAUUAGCCCUGAAAAUGGAUGGCGCUGAAGCGGGAUGCCGAUACUCAGCCAUCAAAGCAAAUGCGAAGCUUUGAUGAGUAAGAGGGCGUGAGCACGGUGCAGAAGCCUUUGGCGUGAGCCUGGGUUGAACUGUGUUUAGUGCAGAUCUUGGUGUUAGUAGCAAAUAUUCAAAUGAGAACUUUGAAGACCGACGUGGAGAAGGGUUCCAUGAGAACAGCAUUUGGUCAUGGGUUAUCCGAUCCUAAGGCAUAGGGAAAUUCCUUGUAAUACAAGAGCAAUUUGCUCGUUGCCGAAAGGGAUGAGGUUAAUAU
This 500-nucleotide ribosomal RNA is filed under the name uncultured eukaryote. RNAcentral describes it as "eukaryotic LSU rRNA". It matches the Rfam family "Eukaryotic large subunit ribosomal RNA", at positions 1114 to 1616 of the family's 3401-position model. The record is from RNAcentral.